Molecule: ribosomal RNA, 2906 nt
Filed under: Escherichia coli DEC8E
Lineage: Bacteria; Pseudomonadati; Pseudomonadota; Gammaproteobacteria; Enterobacterales; Enterobacteriaceae
Description: bacterial LSU rRNA
Rfam family: Bacterial large subunit ribosomal RNA
Source: RNAcentral
UUAAGCGACUAAGCGUACACGGUGGAUGCCCUGGCAGUCAGAGGCGAUGAAGGACGUGCUAAUCUGCGAUAAGCGUCGGUAAGGUGAUAUGAACCGUUAUAACCGGCGAUUUCCGAAUGGGGAAACCCAGUGUGAUUCGUCACACUAUCAUUAACUGAAUCCAUAGGUUAAUGAGGCGAACCGGGGGAACUGAAACAUCUAAGUACCCCGAGGAAAAGAAAUCAACCGAGAUUCCCCCAGUAGCGGCGAGCGAACGGGGAGGCAGCCCACGAGCCUGAAUCAGUAUGUGUGUUAGUGGAAGCGUCUGGAAAGGCGCGCGAUACAGGGUGACAGCCCCGUACACAAAAAUGCACAUGCUGUGAGCUCGAUGAGUAGGGCGGGACACGUGGUAUCCUGUCUGAAUAUGGGGGGACCAUCCUCCAAGGCUAAAUACUCCUGACUGACCGAUAGUGAACCAGUACCGUGAGGGAAAGGCGAAAAGAACCCCGGCGAGGGGAGUGAAAAAGAACCUGAAACCGUGUACGUACAAGCAGUGGGAGCACGCUUAGGCGUGUGACUGCGUACCUUUUGUAUAAUGGGUCAGCGACUUAUAUUCUGUAGCAAGGUUAACCGAAUAGGGGAGCCGAAGGGAAACCGAGUCUUAACUGGGCGUUAAGUUGCAGGGUAUAGACCCGAAACCCGGUGAUCUAGCCAUGGGCAGGUUGAAGGUUGGGUAACACUAACUGGAGGACCGAACCGACUAAUGUUGAAAAAUUAGCGGAUGACUUGUGGCUGGGGGUGAAAGGCCAAUCAAACCGGGAGAUAGCUGGUUCUCCCCGAAAGCUAUUUAGGUAGCGCCUCGUGAAUUCAUCUCCGGGGGUAGAGCACUGUUUCGGCAAGGGGGUCAUCCCGACUUACCAACCCGAUGCAAACUGCGAAUACCGGAGAAUGUUAUCACGGGAGACACACGGCGGGUGCUAACGUCCGUCGUGAAGAGGGAAACAACCCAGACCGCCAGCUAAGGUCCCAAAGUCAUGGUUAAGUGGGAAACGAUGUGGGAAGGCCCAGACAGCCAGGAUGUUGGCUUAGAAGCAGCCAUCAUUUAAAGAAAGCGUAAUAGCUCACUGGUCGAGUCGGCCUGCGCGGAAGAUGUAACGGGGCUAAACCAUGCACCGAAGCUGCGGCAGCGACGCUGAUGCGUUGUUGGGUAGGGGAGCGUUCUGUAAGCCUGUGAAGGUGUGCUGUGAGGCAUGCUGGAGGUAUCAGAAGUGCGAAUGCUGACAUAAGUAACGAUAAAGCGGGUGAAAAGCCCGCUCGCCGGAAGACCAAGGGUUCCUGUCCAACGUUAAUCGGGGCAGGGUGAGUCGACCCCUAAGGCGAGGCCGAAAGGCGUAGUCGAUGGGAAACAGGUUAAUAUUCCUGUACUUGGUGUUACUGCGAAGGGGGGACGGAGAAGGCUAUGUUGGCCGGGCGACGGUUGUCCCGGUUUAAGCGUGUAGGCUGGUUUUCCAGGCAAAUCCGGAAAACUCAAGGCUGAGGCGUGAUGACGAGGCACUACGGUGCUGAAGCAACAAAUGCCCAGCUUCCAGGAAAAGCCUCUAAGCAUCAGGUAACAUCAAAUCGUACCCCAAACCGACACAGGUGGUCAGGUAGAGAAUACCAAGGCGCUUGAGAGAACUCGGGUGAAGGAACUAGGCAAAAAUGGUGCCGUAACUUCGGGAGAAGGCACGCUGAUAUGUAGGUGAAGUCCCUCGCGGAUGGAGCUGAAAUCAGUCGAAGAUACCAGCUGGCUGCAACUGUUUAUUAAAAACACAGCACUGUGCAAACACGAAAGUGGACGUAUACGGUGUGACGCCUGCCCGGUGCCGGAAGGUUAAUUGAUGGGGUCAGCGCAAGCGAAGCUCUUGAUCGAAGCCCCGGUAAACGGCGGCCGUAACUAUAACGGUCCUAAGGUAGCGAAAUUCCUUGUCGGGUAAGUUCCGACCUGCACGAAUGGCGUAAUGAUGGCCAGGCUGUCUCCACCCGAGACUCAGUGAAAUUGAACUCGCUGUGAAGAUGCAGUGUACCCGCGGCAAGACGGAAAGACCCCGUGAACCUUUACUAUAGCUUGACACUGAACAUUGAGCCUUGAUGUGUAGGAUAGGUGGGAGGCUUUGAAGUGUGGACGCCAGUCUGCAUGGAGCCGACCUUGAAAUACCACCCUUUAAUGUUUGAUGUUCUAACGUUGACCCGUAAUCCGGGUUGCGGACAGUGUCUGGUGGGUAGUUUGACUGGGGCGGUCUCCUCCUAAAGAGUAACGGAGGAGCACGAAGGUUGGCUAAUCCUGGUCGGACAUCAGGAGGUUAGUGCAAUGGCAUAAGCCAGCUUGACUGCGAGCGUGACGGCGCGAGCAGGUGCGAAAGCAGGUCAUAGUGAUCCGGUGGUUCUGAAUGGAAGGGCCAUCGCUCAACGGAUAAAAGGUACUCCGGGGAUAACAGGCUGAUACCGCCCAAGAGUUCAUAUCGACGGCGGUGUUUGGCACCUCGAUGUCGGCUCAUCACAUCCUGGGGCUGAAGUAGGUCCCAAGGGUAUGGCUGUUCGCCAUUUAAAGUGGUACGCGAGCUGGGUUUAGAACGUCGUGAGACAGUUCGGUCCCUAUCUGCCGUGGGCGCUGGAGAACUGAGGGGGGCUGCUCCUAGUACGAGAGGACCGGAGUGGACGCAUCACUGGUGUUCGGGUUGUCAUGCCAAUGGCACUGCCCGGUAGCUAAAUGCGGAAGAGAUAAGUGCUGAAAGCAUCUAAGCACGAAACUUGCCCCGAGAUGAGUUCUCCCUGACUCUUUAAGAGUCCUGAAGGAACGUUGAAGACGACGACGUUGAUAGGCCGGGUGUGUAAGCGCAGCGAUGCGUUGAGCUAACCGGUACUAAUGAACCGUGAGGCUUAACCUU